RNAcentral lists this transfer RNA (74 nucleotides) under Ictidomys tridecemlineatus (thirteen-lined ground squirrel). Its description in RNAcentral is "Spermophilus tridecemlineatus (thirteen-lined ground squirrel) tRNA". It matches the Rfam family "tRNA". From Rfam's summary of the family: Transfer RNA (tRNA) molecules are approximately 80 nucleotides in length. Their secondary structure includes four short double-helical elements and three loops (D, anti-codon, and T loops). The record is from Rfam by way of RNAcentral. Lineage: Eukaryota; Metazoa; Chordata; Mammalia; Rodentia; Sciuridae.
GGGGGUAUAGCUCAAUUGGCAGAGUGCUUGCCUCACAGGCACCAAAGCCCUGGAUUCAAUCCCCAGCACCACCA